Lupinus angustifolius (narrow-leaved blue lupine) is the source of this 174-nucleotide microRNA precursor. It matches the Rfam family "mir-166 microRNA precursor family". From Rfam's summary of the family: This family represents the plant microRNA (miRNA) precursor mir-166. Animal miRNAs are transcribed as ~70nt precursors and subsequently processed by the Dicer enzyme to give a ~22nt product. The record is from Rfam. NCBI's taxonomy places the organism in Eukaryota, Viridiplantae, Streptophyta, Magnoliopsida, Fabales, Fabaceae.
GUUGAUUGAAAUGUUGUAUGGUUCAAGUUCACAUAUCAAUGAUGGUUGCUCAAAGUUUUUGAAGCUUUAUCGAUUUAUAGGAUUUCAAUCUUUUCUACCCUUGAAACAAAGAAGCAAUCGAAUUUUGAUGCUAGUCUUUUAUGUAACCUUGGACCAGGCUUCAUUUCAAUCAAC